RNAcentral lists this long non-coding RNA (1198 nucleotides) under Zonotrichia albicollis (white-throated sparrow). RNAcentral's name for it is "lncRNA (ENSZALG00000013108.1)". Lineage: Eukaryota; Metazoa; Chordata; Aves; Passeriformes; Passerellidae. The record is from RNAcentral.
CCCAUCUAAAUCUACCCACUGACAGCUUACAGCCAUUCCCUGUGCCCUGUCCCUCCAUCCUUGUCCCCAGUCCCUCUGCAGCUCUCCUGGAGCCCCUUCAGGCCCUGGAAGGGGCUCUGAGCUCUCCCCAGAGCCUUCUCCUCUUCAUGCUGAACAAUCCCAAUUCCAUCACUUGUCAUCACCCAGGUUCUGUGCAGAGAUUUCCUCCACCACCACCACGUGCAGCUGAGGGAGAAGCUCCCAAGCACUCUGUGCAGCCUUUGAGGACCGUGAUUUAGAGAGUGACAUCCAAAGAUUUGCAAUGAACAGCUUUUAUCUGUGUGUGUUUGUGUGAGAAGCAGCGAGGCGGGAAAGGAAGCACAGCCAGAGCUCUUCCACCCACCCAGGACAGGAUGGCCAUGGAUCCUCUGCUCUGGAACUCUCCCUGUCACCUCCCAGGGACAUCUGCUGGGUCUGCAAAAGGAGGAACUGGGGUCUCCACACUGCAACAGGCUGGGAGCAAGAGUCAGUGAGGACUCAGAUCCUGAGGCAGAGGGGGAAUUACAAAAAGCCAAUGUUUCAUUACAAAAACUGGUGGAAAACCUUCCGGCCUUCUCUCUGCCAGUCCAACAGGCACAGUGUGGUCAAUGACAAGGCAUCCUGAGCCUGGCUUGUUCCAAUCAACUUCUGCAGGAGCGGGAUCGCCAAGGGAUCGCGGGAGUCGGGAACAGCGUUUAGCACUUUGCUGACCUUGACUCCACCUUUUCAAAACUCCUUCUGGAACCAAGAUUUUUUCCAGCCAUUUUCAAGUGAUUUCUUCCACUUCCUCCAGAGACUGAAACACUUGAUUGACCUGUGAUGUUCAGUGAAAUUCUUGCACUGGAAAUGAAAAAAAUGUUGGAAACCCUAGACAUGAAAAUGCUCAUGAACUUUAAAAAAAAAAAAAAAAGUCAAAAAAGUUUUCAACAUAUCAUCUGUCCAGGGUGUUUAACAACAGGUAUUUGGGGUUUCUUUUCAUUGUGAAGGAAGAUUUAGGAGCAAACAUGAAAAAUAGAUAUUUAAUUUUAAAUGUAUGAUUUUUACCUGUAUUUUAGCCUUGUAUAUAACACUCUGUCUCACUUGAGAGUUGCUAAUAACCAGGAAAUGAUUACUGAGAACUUCUGAAAUGACAUCGAGUAAAAAAUUAAAGGAUGUGAGGAGACUUUUUUUUAAGAAAUAA